Quercus lobata is the source of this 388-nucleotide long non-coding RNA. RefSeq lists it as uncharacterized. The record is from RefSeq and is a predicted model, not a curated record. The transcript has 3 exons. Lineage: Eukaryota; Viridiplantae; Streptophyta; Magnoliopsida; Fagales; Fagaceae.
CACAUUCACUGGUGAAGUCAUCGAGCAUUCAACACUUGGCUGCGUUACUCCAUGUAGAUCUUGAUGCCGGGGAAAGGAUUGGAUUAAAAGGCGCAAAGUGGAAGAGGAGGAGUUAGAAAACAUUGAGGAACAACUUCAACCAUCAACUUCACAUUCAUCCUUCCAACCACAAACAUUAAGAGAUGCAUCCAUAAUGAAGGAUGUAUGUACACAUCCAUAUGGUUCUUUUAAAGAAAUGUGUACACUUUGUGGCCAAUGGUUGCAGGCCGAAUAUGGUGUGGCAUUGGGCUACAUUCAUGAGGUAAAGACUAUUUGGCAGAGUUGUGAAUUUUGGUUAUCCUUCACUGCAUAUUGGAAUUUGGAAGACAAUAUCUAUGAUGCUUGUGAA